UCUCAUGGGAGGGGGCUCAGAAGGACAAUACAGUGAGUCACGAACCCUCUUUGGGUCUUCUUCUUCUUCAAGGACAAUCUCAACCAUUCUCUUAUCCCUGCUCCUUCCUCCUCCUUUGCAGCAAAUAGCCACCUUCUACCACACACAUCCACUACUGACCACUGCUCCGACCACCCGUACCAAACAAUACAAUCAUUGUAAUAAGGUGACCAGAGGGAGAAGGAAGGAAGGAAAGAGGCAAACCAGAGGCAACAGAUCUGUGAUAAUAAGGUGUUCGAAGAUUCAACUUUCGAAAAAUAGAAUUUUUGAGGAGGAUACUUCGUCGUAGAAGUCCGAUGAAGAAAGGGUUCAUCAAAGUGUUUCUGAAAAUUUUCCCGAGAAAUCAGACAAUUUCAAAUUUUCCGGGAAAGGAAUGAAGUUCGGUGAUGGGUUUGAGAAUGAUGUUAAAUCUGGUAGCAGUUCUUCUAGAAGAGCUGAUAAUAGGGAAGUUUUGAGCAAUAUAGCUGACAACCAAAGUAAUGGUUCAUACAUCAAUCCUGAUAAUUGGGUUAUUAUUGAUAAUGAUCUUCAAAUAAA
This is a non-coding RNA of Camellia sinensis, 576 nucleotides long. The record is from RefSeq and is a predicted model, not a curated record. NCBI's taxonomy places the organism in Eukaryota, Viridiplantae, Streptophyta, Magnoliopsida, Ericales, Theaceae.